Molecule: transfer-messenger RNA, 367 nt
Filed under: Actinomycetes bacterium
Lineage: Bacteria; Bacillati; Actinomycetota; Actinomycetes
Description: Actinobacteria bacterium transfer-messenger RNA
Rfam family: transfer-messenger RNA
About the family: Bacterial tmRNA, also known as 10Sa RNA or SsrA, is named for its dual tRNA and mRNA-like properties. Its role is to liberate the mRNA from a stalled ribosome.
Source: RNAcentral
GGGGGCGAUCUGGUUUCGACGUGGUCGAUUCUCCGGCAGAGUUGCAAGCCGAGGUCCCCGGUCGGCCUCGUAAAACAACCGGGAAACAACGUAAGUGCGGAUAACGAUCACGCACUCGCUCUCGCUGCCUAAUCAGUAGCUGAGCGCGUCGCUCCGAACUCGGCCCGUGGUUCGGGUAGCGGCGUCAAAAACGGGCUCGGCGCCUAGGGAGAGCCAAUCGCCCGAAGCGCGACACCAAAGGAUGGCUAGCCCGGCGGUUGGUCGGCUGCCAACCGGCCGGCGGGCGAAACGCAACGGCAGCCUAAGCUUGUAGACGCUCUGCGCGGGGCGUCCGCGGACGCGGGUUCGAUUCCCGCCGCCUCCACUU